RNAcentral lists this ribosomal RNA (432 nucleotides) under uncultured bacterium. RNAcentral's name for it is "bacterial SSU rRNA". It matches the Rfam family "Bacterial small subunit ribosomal RNA", at positions 355 to 775 of the family's 1533-position model. The record is from RNAcentral.
UAAGGAAUAUUCCGCAAUGGGCGAAAGCCUGACGGAGCGACGCCGCGUGAAGGAGGAAGCCCUUCGGGGUGUAAACUUCUUUUCUUUGGGAUGACACACUCUUCUCUCCGCAAGGGGAGGGAGUUAGGACAGUACCAGAGGAAUAAGCCUCGGCUAACUACGUGCCAGCAGCCGCGGUAAUACGUAGGAGGCGAGCGUUGUCCGGAUUUACUGGGCGUAAAGCGCGCGCAGGCGGCACACUAAGUACGGUGUGAAAUCUCCCUGCUCAACGGGGAGGGUGCAUUGUAAACUGGUGAGCUAGAGGACGGUAGAGGGGGGUGGAAUUGCUGGUGUAGCGGUGAAAUGCGUAGAGAUCAGCAGGAACACCCGUGGCGAAGGCGGCCCCCUGGGCCGAACCUGACGCUGAGGCGCGAAGGCUAGGGGAGCGAACGG